UUCGUAGGUGGCCCGCUAAGUCACACGUGAAAUCCCUCAGCUCAACUGGGGAACUGCGUGUGAGACUGGCAGGCUUGAGUGCAGGAGAGGAACGCGGAAUUCCAGGUGUAGCGGUGAAAUGCGUAGAUAUCUGGAGGAACACCGGUGGCGAAGGCGGCGUUCUGGACCGUUUCUGACACUGAACAACGAAAGCCAGGGGAGCAAACGGGAUUAGAUACCCCGGUAGUCCUGGCCCUAAACGAUGAAUGCUUGGUGUGACGGGUAUCGAUCCCUGUCGUGCCGUAGUUAACGCGUUAAGCAUUCCGCCUGGGGAGUACGGUCGCAAGGCUGAA
This 332-nucleotide ribosomal RNA is filed under the name uncultured bacterium. RNAcentral's name for it is "bacterial SSU rRNA". It matches the Rfam family "Bacterial small subunit ribosomal RNA", at positions 568 to 898 of the family's 1533-position model. The record is from RNAcentral.